GAUUCUCAAACUGUGUGGUGCGGAGGCAUUACAGGUGGGGCGCGCGACCGGGAGGGGGAGAUGUGAGGCGGAACUAAUGUUUUGACGUCCGCUUCUCUUUAACGGUGGAACAGGAGGGAGAAGGGGUCCCUAUGGUAACAAAGAGGAGUUAAGAAGGAUCACAUCAAUUCCUCUCCAGCAAACCAUUUGGUCAACAUUGGACACUGGUUUUUCAGACAAAGGACAGGGUGGCUUGCACGAAAAAAAGUUCUAUGCUGGACUCACUCAGGCAGCAACAUAUCAAAGGUAGAAGAGACGUCAUCAUCCGCUGCUUAAUGGAGUAACUUGGAGAGUCUGGAGAGGAACUCAUCAAGGACUACCAGCAAGGAAGCCAAAGAGGACUUCUCUCAUCAUGACUUUAAGAUCUGAAGGAAAUGCAGCACAGGAAGGCCACAACCCCUGACCAUGUCGGUCAUCACAAGGGAAAAGAGGUUCUUCAUGACUGUUGCAAAUGUUUACCUUUUGCUCAAAGGCCCGAACCGAACCGAAUUUGUUGGGAAUUAACUUAAUGCAUUUCUAUUCUGUAUUUCUUACAAAGCUAUUGCACUUUACAGUGAUACUUCAUUGAAAAUGUAAUCUCUGCA
Hippoglossus stenolepis (Pacific halibut) is the source of this 623-nucleotide long non-coding RNA. RefSeq lists it as uncharacterized. The transcript has 4 exons. The record is from RefSeq and is a predicted model, not a curated record. NCBI's taxonomy places the organism in Eukaryota, Metazoa, Chordata, Actinopteri, Pleuronectiformes, Pleuronectidae.